UGUUAAAAAAUUCAUCCAUUUGUAUUGUUAAAAAUUUACGUAGUUGACGGAAUAACUAGAUAAUGAUACAUGUUAUGCCACAUGCACGUCAUGCUGAAGUAAAUGGACCAAUUUUUAACAAAAAAAAUGGAGAAUUUUUUUAACA
This is a non-coding RNA of Gossypium hirsutum (cotton), 145 nucleotides long. The record is from Rfam. NCBI's taxonomy places the organism in Eukaryota, Viridiplantae, Streptophyta, Magnoliopsida, Malvales, Malvaceae.